GGGGAUUUAGCUCAGUUGUAGAGUGCUUGCCUAGCAAGCUUGAGGCCCUGGGUUCGGUCCCCAGCUCCU
This 69-nucleotide transfer RNA is filed under the name Rattus norvegicus (Norway rat). It matches the Rfam family "tRNA". Rfam says of the family: Transfer RNA (tRNA) molecules are approximately 80 nucleotides in length. Their secondary structure includes four short double-helical elements and three loops (D, anti-codon, and T loops). Further hydrogen bonds mediate the characteristic L-shaped molecular structure. tRNAs have two regions of fundamental functional importance: the anti-codon, which is responsible for specific mRNA codon recognition, and the 3' end, to which the tRNAs corresponding amino acid is attached (by aminoacyl-tRNA synthetases). tRNAs cope with the degeneracy of the genetic code in two manners: having more than one tRNA (with a specific anti-codon) for a particular amino acid; and 'wobble' base-pairing, i.e. permitting non-standard base-pairing at the 3rd anti-codon position. The record is from Rfam by way of RNAcentral. Lineage: Eukaryota; Metazoa; Chordata; Mammalia; Rodentia; Muridae.